CGUAGGCGGACUGAUAAGUCAGUGGUGAAAUCCGACAGCUUAACUGUCGAACUGCCAUUGAUACUGUUAGUCUUGAGUAAGGUUGAAGUGGCUGGAAUAAGUAGUGUAGCGGUGAAAUGCAUAGAUAUUACUUAGAACACCAAUUGCGAAGGCAGGUCACUAAGUCUUAACUGACGCUGAUGGACGAAAGCGUGGGGAGCGAACAGGAUUA
RNAcentral lists this ribosomal RNA (211 nucleotides) under bacterium. RNAcentral describes it as "partial 16S ribosomal RNA". It matches the Rfam family "Bacterial small subunit ribosomal RNA", at positions 570 to 780 of the family's 1533-position model. The record is from RNAcentral.